Cyprinus carpio (common carp) is the source of this 2257-nucleotide long non-coding RNA. Lineage: Eukaryota; Metazoa; Chordata; Actinopteri; Cypriniformes; Cyprinidae. The record is from Ensembl.
AUGCAAGUUGUUUCUGAGAUAAGCAGUUUUCUUUCCUGUUUGUGCACAGCCACCUUCAAGUGUAGAUGCAGAAGGAGAUCAAUGCACACCACAUCGCAACAGACAAGACAAGCCCAAAGAAUCUUUCCACCAUUUAAAAAUAUCAUGGAUCAGACUCCAGACAUUUCCACAGACCACAAGAGAGAGAAGCAGUCAAAAGCAUCAUCGAACAUCCCUAAGAAGCUGCCAUUGUUUGUAAUUCUAAUGCAUGAUUUUUUACAAAAAAUUCCUGUUUUCAGCUCUUUCCCUAUUAGUCUUUCGUUAAUUGGAUUUGAGGAGUUGAUGGAGCUAAAAGUUUUUGUAUGCCCAUGCAGACAUGAUCUGAAUAUAUGGCUAACAACAUCUAUUUUACUUAGUCCUCCUUUUUUUAUUUUUGCUUUAAUGUAUUUUGUUUUAAGACCUUUUAAACAUGAUUGGUUUCAUUGUUCUCAAAGAGAGAAUGAUACUCGGCAGAACUGGCCUAAAGCUUUAGCACAUUGUCUGAUGCCAUCUGCAAUGUGGAUCAUCAUCUUGUUACUUGAUGGUGAUUAUAUUGCUUGUGCCAUGACAGACUGGAAGGGAGUUUAUGUGUUUGAUGUUGAGCUCAACAGGUCGUGGUGUAAACCCAAUGAAGACAUGCGAAAUGCGGCAGAGCUCCGAGAUUUGAAUCGCCAGUAUAUUUAUAAAUCACAGAUUUUAGGUUAUUCCGCAAGCUUUAUCUUAAGUGUAAUAACAAUAACCUUAAUGGUUAUUUUUGACUGCCACAUAAGUGGGAGAUGUGACUUCUGCCCAAAAUGCUGCAGACCAACAGCAGAGAUACAGACUGAGAAACAAGGUUCUGCUACAAUGGGACAGGAACUGCAAGGGUCAGGAAGUUCUGCUACAAUGGGACAGGAACUGCAAGGGUCAGGGAGUUCUGCUACAAUGGGACAGGAACUGCAAGGGUCAGGGAGUUCUGCUACAAUGGGACAGGAACUGCAAGGGUUAGGGAGUUCUGCUACAAUGGGACAGGAACUGCAAGGGUUAGGGAGUUCUGCUACAAUGGGACAGGAACUGCAAGGGUUAGGGAGUUCUGCUACAAUGGGACAGGAACUGCAAGGGUUAGGGAGUUCUGCUACAAUGGGACAGGAACUGCAAGGGUUAGGGAGUUCUGCUACAAUGGGACAGGAACUGCAAGGGUUAGGGAGUUCUGCUACAAUGGGACAGGAACUGCAAGGGUUAGGGAGUUCUGCUACAAUGGGACAGGAACUGCAAGGGUUAGGGAGUUCUGCUACAAUGGGACAGGAACUGCAAGGGUUAGGGAGUUCUGCUACAAUGGGACAGGAACUGCACGGGUUAGGGAGUUCUGCUACAAUGGGACAGGAACUGCAAGGGUUAGGGAGUUCUGCUACAAUGGGACAGGAACUGCACUGGUUAGGGAGUUCUGCUACAAUGGGACAGGAACUGCAAGGGUUAGGGAGUUCUGCUACAAUGGGACAGGAACUGCAAGGGUUAGGGAGUUCUGCUACAAUGGGACAGCAAGAUUCAAGGAGUUCUGCCUCAGUGAGACAUAAACUACAAGGGGCAGAGGGUUUUGCUGCAGUGUCAUGGCAAUUAGAGAGUUCUGAUAUAGUGCGACAAGGAAAUAAAGGGUUAGGAAGAUCUGCUCUAGCAGGACAUGGACAACAAAUGUCAGGGAGUUCUGCUCCAAUGGGUUCUAUUACAAAAACACCGGAACGGCAAAUGCUACUGCAAUUUCCAUAGCAACUUAAAAAAAAAAAAAAGUGAAAGGCCAUCUACUAACAACAGACCAGUUAUUAACAAAUUGAUUUCUCUCUAUCUUUAUUAAACAAAACUAUCCUAUGCCAUCAGAUACCAAAUGUGACACACAAGUACAUUAAACUGUUUUGUCAGAAAGAAGAAAGGAUGAUCAAGAUCCUUCAGAAGCUGCAGAAACUUUGCAUAUUUGAAUAUUUAUAUUUUGUAAUGAAUUAUAUUAGAUAAACUUCUGAACUUCAGAUAAAUAUAGGCAGAUAUUUUGCAUGUGCAAAUUUUUUAAAGCACGUCUCUUUUAAUGGGAAAAUACCUUUUUGUGAAAUGAUUUGCUUGGAAUAGUCUGUUUCUGUAAAGCAUGUUUCGAUGGAGGGGGGAAAAAAAAGGAUAGGGCCGGUUCUAGACAUCUGGAGGCCCAAGGCAAAAUUCAUGUUGGAGCGCCCCCACCCACAAUAAAAAGCACUUGAAACAAAUAUGAUUCCUAACC